UACGUAGGGGGCAAGCGUUGUCCGGAAUCAUUGGGCGUAAAGCGCGCGUAGGCGGCCCCGUAAGUCCGCUGUAAAAGUCAAAGGCUCAACCUUUGAAAGCCGGUGGAUACUGCAGGGCUAGAGUCCGGAAGAGGCGAGUGGAAUUCCUGGUGUAGCGGUGGAAUGCGCAGAUAUCAGGAGGAACACCAAUAGCGAAGGCAGCUCGCUGGGACGGUACUGACGCUAAGGCGCGAAAGCGUGGGGAGCGAACAGG
Molecule: ribosomal RNA, 253 nt
Filed under: uncultured bacterium
Lineage: Bacteria
Description: partial 16S ribosomal RNA
Rfam family: Bacterial small subunit ribosomal RNA
Source: RNAcentral